ACUCCUGUCUCACUAGUGGCACCCAGCUGGCGGGGCCCUUGGGCAGUCACAGACCAGAGUGGAGCACACCCCCAGCCAGUCUCUUUCACCUGCUCACACAGCAGCCUGCAAGAGAGCCGCGGAAGCCUGGCUAAAAGCACGCCAUCCUUCCUCCUGUAGUGGAGCACCCCAGCCAGUUGUCAGCACAAUGGCACACCGGGGUGCACUGCCUUGCUUUCGCCUCUGCGUUGGAGUUUCAUGAAGAGCUAUAGGUGGGUCCAGCUGCUGGCUGGAUCCUUGCUCGCCAGCCGCCCACACGAGAGGGAUUCGAUGGCUGACGAUGGGGGUUUUCUAGGAUGAAGUCAAGUGGGGCGUGAUGGCAUCUGGAUUCUUCAUUCACGCAGAGGUCAGCAGCAGGUGAUGGAAGCAAAGGAUAUGUCAACCAGUGGAAAUAAAUGGAAAGUGAC
Molecule: non-coding RNA, 446 nt
Organism: Pelodiscus sinensis (Chinese soft-shelled turtle)
Lineage: Eukaryota; Metazoa; Chordata; Testudines; Trionychidae
Source: RefSeq, a predicted model, not a curated record